This 589-nucleotide ribosomal RNA is filed under the name Bacillus subtilis group sp. RNAcentral's name for it is "bacterial SSU rRNA". It matches the Rfam family "Bacterial small subunit ribosomal RNA", at positions 78 to 651 of the family's 1533-position model. Lineage: Bacteria; Bacillati; Bacillota; Bacilli; Caryophanales; Bacillaceae. The record is from RNAcentral.
GCUUGCUCCCUGAUGUUAGCGGCGGACGGGUGAGUAACACGUGGGUAACCUGCCUGUAAGACUGGGAUAACUCCGGGAAACCGGGGCUAAUACCGGAUGGUUGUUUGAACCGCAUGGUUCAGACAUAAAAGGUGGCUUCGGCUACCACUUACAGAUGGACCCGCGGCGCAUUAGCUAGUUGGUGAGGUAACGGCUCACCAAGGCGACGAUGCGUAGCCGACCUGAGAGGGUGAUCGGCCACACUGGGACUGAGACACGGCCCAGACUCCUACGGGAGGCAGCAGUAGGGAAUCUUCCGCAAUGGACGAAAGUCUGACGGAGCAACGCCGCGUGAGUGAUGAAGGUUUUCGGAUCGUAAAGCUCUGUUGUUAGGGAAGAACAAGUGCCGUUCAAAUAGGGCGGCACCUUGACGGUACCUAACCAGAAAGCCACGGCUAACUACGUGCCAGCAGCCGCGGUAAUACGUAGGUGGCAAGCGUUGUCCGGAAUUAUUGGGCGUAAAGGGCUCGCAGGCGGUUUCUUAAGUCUGAUGUGAAAGCCCCCGGCUCAACCGGGGAGGGUCAUUGGAAACUGGGGAACUUGAGUGCAG